Molecule: long non-coding RNA, 6848 nt
Organism: Mus musculus (house mouse)
Lineage: Eukaryota; Metazoa; Chordata; Mammalia; Rodentia; Muridae
Product: predicted gene, 46550
Exons: 3
Source: RefSeq, a predicted model, not a curated record
UCUGUGGGUAUUGGGAAAAGUUUUCAAUUAGCAAUAAUUGCGCCUCGGAUAAACCUCAUUGGCUACGAUACUGCCACUGCGCAAAGCUGGAGUUUUCUAUGAUGAACGCACAUCUUAUACUUUGAAAAUUCAGUACACUUUUAUGUUUUGGGGGAAAGUAGCCCACAAGAAUCUUUACGACUUUGACCUCUGGCGUCAUGUGUCAGCUUUCUCCCCCAACACAGACUAUCAACUGGUGCUGCAGUGUCAACCUUUGGCUAUCUGGAGCUACCGGCUCUCUGGUCAGCCAUAUUUUUGCUUUCUCUCUCCCUGCUUGAGUGGUCUCCCUGGCAUAUGCCUGUAGCCUUGACUUUUCCUUCCGAGGCUCCGAUGCAGGCCUGUCCUUUAGCAUUCCUCCGUGUGGCCCUCCUCACGGACUCUGCCCAGCUGGGACUGCCCUUCCUGGCCUGGUGUUCCUUUCCCCUCUGGCUUACUCUGCCUGGCUUUGUGAAUGUCUGUGUUCUCGCCUCCUCUCUGCCACCGGGAGGAUUGUUUUCUUCAGCCUGCCUCACUCAUCAUAAAGAGCAAGAACUUUCCCCUGCUGUCUAUGUGUUUGUCUGACUCUCCUUAAAGAACAACCUCUGAUAGAAAGUACUCAGUGGUCCAAUGAGAAGAAGCUUACGAUCUUGCCAUGAAGAGGCAUUGUUCUAGUGUUAAUGUUUUAAGUGUAUGUGUUUGGAAAGCUGCUGUUCACGCUGUAUACUACUGUACUCUCUUUCCCUCGCUUGAUUUUACAUUUGGAAGCAUCAUCUAUGUUGCUAAAUUUCCGUAAACUGAGACAUCAUGGAGACUGGGGCAUUCCACGCAGCUGAACUGUGUCUAUUAGCUGAUCCUUAGUUGUGCAGUGUCUAGCUGCUUGCUCUUUAAGGGGACAGUGGAGGGAGAAUGGCACAGCUGCCCUUGUCAGGACUGCCAGACAAGGGGCUUGAACAUUUUAAGGUUCUUCCAAUGUUCUUCAUUAAACUGCUUUCCUGAAAGGUUUUACUGGUUUGUGCUGCCACAGCUAAGAUUGGGGGGCAGGGGGUGAAGGAAGGGGUCAUGGAGGCCUAUUCUAUUGUAUUCUCAUUAAUACUACCAUGAAAAGAAAAGAAAAAAACUUAGUAUUUUUAUAGGCAAAAAGCUACAAAAGUUCACCUUUUCGGGGGGGGGGGGGGGAGGGUCCCAGACAGGGUUUCUCUGUGUAGCCCUGGCUGUCCUGGAACUCACUCUGUAGACCAGGCUGGCCUAGAACUCAGAAAUCUGCCUGUCUCUGCCUCCCAAGUGCUGGGAUUAAAGGCGUGCGCCACCACUGCACAGCUAAAUUUUCACAUUUUUGUGUUCUUUUUCUAACUCAUUUGCCUCUUCUUUAUUGUUCUUAUCUUUUUUGUUUUGUUUUGUUUUUGUUUUUGUUUUUGUUUUUGUUUUUGUUUUUGUUUUUGUUUUUGUUUUUGUUUUUGUUUUGUUUUAGUUUUAGUUUUUGAGUCAUGGUUUCUCAGUGUAGUUCUGGCUGACCUGGAACUCUGCUGACCUGGCUGGCCUGCCUCUGCCUCCUGAGCACUGGGUUUAAAGGUGUCCACCACCACUGCUGGGCAGUUUUCCCUUGGAAGUUUUCAUCACCAUAUUGCCGAUUCAUUGUUAAACCCUAACCUGUUUCUGGAGGGUUUGUAAAUCUCUUGGCAUAUUAAGGAUAUUGUUUCAUCUGGUUGCCCCAACUCUUGACUGAAUAUUUAGGAGAUUAGCUUGAUGGUAGAGGCUGGAGCUUGAGACACCUUUGCCUCAUGUCCUCUCUGUCAUGUCCGCAUAACUGACUUACUGGCUUUGGGGUCUGGCAGGGUUGGGGCUGGAUGACCAAGGGAUGCGCUCAGGGUUCAUUCAUCUCAGGGCAUGUGAUCAACUUUGGACGAAUUAAUUACAAGGCUGCCCUACCUAAGUAAGUGCUGUUAAACGGAAGCCAUGCUUUCUCCAUGGGAUUCGUAUACAAAGGCUGUGGUGUUCCCAGGAAUUGAUUAACUAAGAGAUAAAAACCCCAAAACUGUCUAGCUGUGCAAGGCACAGGAUAAACGGCCUCACCUGUUGUCACCAUUUGCUUUACAAAUUCGAGGGAGUCAAAACCGCAGCAAGAUAAAGUGUCAUCCUACUAAGGUGACUGUCAUAAAACACAAAACCAAACGAACACCUGACAACCAGACAGUGAACAAGGGGCCGGGAGAAAGUAGUGAGGAAAGUGAGCGGGCUCUCCUACAUUGCCCUAAGACGAUACAAUGUUGCAACCACUUUAGAACCCAGUUCUGAUGGGGGCCCUGAAAAAAAGAAACAUUAAAUGCCAUUACCAUACUACCAGACACUACUCCUGUGCUAGUAUCUGAAAGAACUGAGAGCAGAACCGAGCUGGUGCAGGGAUUUGCAUAUGAACGUUGGCCAUUUCAGUAUUGUUCAAGAUAUCAAGGGAGUGGUCGCCAUCCUAAGAAACAAGAGCACUGAUACUCAUUAUAACGCAGAUUAGUCUCGAAAAUACCAAGCUAAGGGAGAUGCACCAGCAGUGAAAGCUACCUCGCAUGUCUGAUUCCAUGUAUGUAAAAAGGCCAUAAUAGGAAAAUCUGUGGAGACAGAAAGGAGCUGGCUGGGGUGGGUGUGGGAAGGAGGGAAGGAGGGUUCUAACGGGCACAGCAUUUCAGGGGAGAAGGUUGCAGGUGUUCUGUGAAUGCACUAAAGUGCUGAAUUGCACACUUUGAGAACUCCAUGGUAACCGAAUUCUAUCUUCACAACAUUGAGAACUAAGGGCAGCUCAGGUACAGCGAGGCUUGGCCUCAUUAGACAGGUGGUGGCCAUUCUCACUCGCAGCAGCGGGUGCCUUGGAGAGCGAUGUGGCAGCAGGGUCCCCAAGGAUGCUUGUCCAAUCUGGCAGUGGCUGCAAGGAGCCCCCAUCUAAUCAGUAGUUCUUUAUGUGACCUGGGUCUGUGAAGAAAGCCUGGGGCACCUAUGACAGGGUGAGAGAAAGUUGAGUGUUCUUUAUUAAAUAGAAUAAAACAAAACUGCCCCUAAAUUAAAUUGGGGAUAAAUAAGAGCAUAGUGUAGUGGCGUGGGACUGUUUCUGAGCUUGGAAUGAUGAAGUUGUGAUCUUGGCUCUGCCACUGCUUUGGUCUGUUACCUCGGGCAGAGCCUCCGUCUUCCUCAUUGGCAAGGCAAGGAUGGAGCCUGGCUUGUUUGUCUUACAGGAUUUGAGAGGACAUAUGAAACAUUUAUGUGAAAGUGUGUGUAAGCCUGGGAAUUGUUGCCCCUGAUCAUUCCAUGAGGCCUGUCUCUCUCUUCAUCUCUUGAUCUGUCUGUUUCUCCUAAAAUUAUUUCAGACUUGUGUGUGUGUGUGUGUGUGUGUGUGUGUGUGUGUGUGUGUGUGUAUGCAGGAGUGUUUCACCUGCAUGUAUGUGUGUCUACCUGCAUGCAUGUAUGUCUACCCUGGUGCCUGAGAAGGUCAAAAGACAGCAUUGGAGCCCCUGGGAAUGGGGUUAAUGGAUACUUGUAAACCAUCAACUGGGUUCUGGGAACCAAACCAGGGUCCUCUAGAAGAGCAAUAAAUGCUUUUAACCAUGGAGCCAUCUCUGCAGCUCCUUUUUUUCCCACUAACAUUUUUACAAGAUACCAGCGAUAGACCUUGCUCAUGCUGUGAGGUGGUCUUCUGAAGCUUCCUAAAAUGUAUCCAGGAGAUGUUAGUUACUAACUUACCAGUAACUCGUGCUUGGAGAUGUUAGUUACUAACUUACCAGUAACUCGUGCUUGGAGAUGUUAGUUACUAACUUACCAGUAACUCGUGCUUCGAUUUUAGUAACCUUGUAUAACUGCAUUAACAUGUACUGUGACAUUUGUCCAGAGAGAGUGAUGUAACUGAUAGGCUGGGGUAGGUGAUGAGACAGGAACACCCACAGUGAGACUUGUAGGUGGUUAAUGGCAAUGCAGGAGCCAGGGAUUGCAUUUUCUGCCUGUGGGGAGUCCUCUGAGUGUCCUGGUGUAUAAGGGCGUCUUCCAGGGUCUUUACAUAGAGAGGCUGGAAGCCCCUCAGGAGCUACGUUGGCUCUUAAGAGAUUCUUGAGCUGACAGGUGAGUGUGACAAUCCCAGGGUAGAAGGAUGCUAACACACUAGCUGGAGUGGAGAGGAGUCGGUGCUGGCAGAGGUGGACUUGCUCUUUGAUCCAGAGGCCUAGGGAUACAGCUAUAUAUCUAAUGUGCAACCCGGUGUGCCUACACAUUAAAAGAGCUCAAUCCAAAAGCCCCUGAGCACAGAUGAUGUGGUGUGGUAGCUCACACCAUUAAUCCCAGAUUUUAGGAGGCAGAGGCAAGUAGAUAUCUCCGAGUUAAAGGCCAGCCAAAUAGUGAGACCCUGCCUCAAAGACAAAACCACCCCCACCCCCUUUGUUCUUUGCAAGGGGAUGAUUUUUAGACAUGUCACCAUAGUAUUAAAAACAAAAAGUCUAAAACUAUGUUAAUAUUCUUAAAAGGCAUUGAGUGCCUAGUGGAACAUGGUGCGGUAUCCAAGGAACCUUGCUGGUCGAUUGCCUGAGCAUAUAAUUUAAGAUGAUUUUUCCUUCCUUUAUUUGAUUUGAAAUCUUAAUGGGAUUCUACUGCAGUCCCCCGAGCUUCCCACCACUACUGUGUGGGACAAAGGAUUGCCCGCGUAGGAGAGAGACGCUUUGGCAGGCUUGUCAGCUCCUUUUAUUUGGAACUCAUGUGGUUGUUAGCUUUAUGUGUUUGUAAACUGGCAACGGCUGUCGACAGGAAGGAAUGGUAACUGUCCUAGAGACGGAGGUGGGAGGACACACCUAUGGGAGAGCCCCUCUCCUUCCCUUUAGCAGGAGACCGUACCUCAGCCCCAGGGUCCAGAGGUCACCUACUUUCUGGUGGCUUGGGUGGAGCAUGGAAAAUGGCACCUUUGCUCUUUGGCUUGCACUCUGUUGGGGAGGUCUCCAGCUGUAGCAUACAGAGACACUUCAGCUGUCACUACAGCAGAGGCAGAGUACAGGUGAGAUGAUGUUGGGGGCUAGCCUGCAUGUUAGGGUUUGUAGGUGACAGGGCAGCCACGGCUGGGAGUGACAGGCAAGGCUAGUAAAGUUCCUGCCGGGAUUACCAGGUAAAACCUGGGUCCCUCAGUUCAGCCUAAAUUUCAGAAAAACAAGGCACAGUAUCUUAUGUUGCAUGGGAUCAACUUCUGCUAAAAAUGAUUCAUACUGAAAAGCUCUGGCUGAGGUUCAAAUAACAGAAUAACCUGCCUUCUGAUCUAAAUUGCCAAAUGGUGAAAUUUGAGUCUCUGGAAAAAUCUGACCAGCACUACCACCUCCAUUACUGCCAAAACCCCCUCCUCCUCCUCCACCAUCACAACCACCUCUUUGUCUUCCAUCACCACCACUAUCACCAUCACUAUCACCGUCAGCUCCUCCACCUCUUCCUCCUUCACCAUCACCAUCAUCACUACCACCUACCCAAUCAUAACCACCACAUGGCUGAGUCUUGGAAACAGGAGCUAGGUUGAAGAGAAAAGUGCACAGAGUCUUUCCUUGCAUGGGUCCCUCUUUCCUUCCAUUCUGCCGUGCCUGGUUAUUUCUCCUUACACUCAGCCAUCUGCCCUUUGCAGUGGUGCUGAGAAAGGAGCCUCAGUACAGACCGCACUGUCUGAGGCCAGCUGCUGGGAUUUCUUUCAGUCUUCUGCCAAGGCGACAGGGCACAAACCCAGCUCUGUAAUCUACACCUUGGCCCAAACCAAACCCACAGCCUGUGGGCAGCCAGAGAGGGGUUUCCAAAGUGUGGAUGUUUGGGAACUAUUAAAUAUUCAUAGGCCUCUCCCCACAGGACAGAAUUCCAAAUCCUCCAGUGGUAAGGGUCUUCCUGGUGUGGCCCUCGUUGGUCUUAGGUCCCCUGGGACUUGUCGACCCAUUCCAGCUGCAAAGCGUGUGUGAAACGCAGAGGCCAGGUCAGACGCAGAGCUGAGAUUUUGCUACUCUGUUGGAACCCCCUAACUCCAUUAGGUGUAAUGUCUAUGGGGAUCUUGUCUGCUCACACAUACACAUGUGCACAUGCAUGCAUGUGUGUCCAUGCAGUUAAAUAUGUCCCCUGAAGUCAGCAUGGUGAUGAUCAACAGUCAUGUCAUGUCACGUUGUUAGUGGAACAGAGCUGGGCAGCAUUUGCAUGAACCAUCCUUGUGUCCAAAGUAUCAUGUGUACACUAGGCUCCCCAGGUGCCUGGAAGCAGAACUCCAGGAGGGUUUGACUGGUACCUCCCCUCUAGUCAUAACCCAAGAAGAAUUCCUGCAGAGAGGGUUAGCACCCGUGAAGACCUGGUGCACACCCUAGCCUGCUUCUUGGUAGACAGUGAGAGCAGGCAGUGAGUGAAGCAAGCUUAAUGUCUCUCUCUUAGUUCCAUUUGCUGCACCCCCCCCAAGCCCCCAAUAAUCUUAUCCCUGACCCUGAAACCCCAGCACCGUCUUGGCCCUCACUAGUUUGUGUUUAGUGAAUGCGAGAUGAAGCACAGUGCUUAGCGAAGCCAUUUGGACCCUAUUGGGUUACGACUCCUGCUUUAUCUGGAUUUGCAUGGACUGCUGCCAUUGGCCUGUGGACGGCAGGAAAGGCUAGAUUACACCAGGAGAGAGCAGGAUUGAGACCUGGGGAUUAGGACCCACUGACUAUAGCCCUAGCCUGCUGAUAAUUACCUUGGAGUCAUGUCUUAAAAACCUACUGUGGCCUCUCUUUCUGGCCCAGAAAGAUAAAAACCUACCUACCCUUUCUUUGUCUGGCCAGCUCCUCAUAUUCUCUCUUCUAGAUAUGAUCUAGUGUUCUUUUUUUUUUUUU